CGAACGCCGCGUGAGCGAUGAAGGCCUUCGGGUCGUAAAGCUCUGUGUUAGGGAAGAACAAGUACCGUUCGAAUAGGGCGGUACCUUGACGGUACCUAACCAGAAAGCCACGGCUAACUACAUGCCAGCAGCCGCGGUAAUACGUAGGUGGCAAGCGUUAUCCGGAAUUAUUGGGCGUAAAGCGCGCGCAGGCGGCUUCUUAAGUCUGAUGUGAAAGCCCACGGCUCAAUCGUGGAGGGUCAUUGGAAACUGGGGAACUUGAGUGCAGAAGAGAAAAGCGGAAUUCCACGUGUAGCGGUGAAAUGCGUAGAGAUGUGGAGGAACACCAGUGGCGAAGGCGGCUUUUUGGUCUGUAACUGACGCUGAGGCGCGAAAGCGUGGGGAGCAAACAGGAUUAGAUACCCUGGUAGUCCACGCCGUAAACGAUGAGUGCUAAGUGUUAGAGGGUUUCCGCCCUUUAGUGCUGCAGCUAACGCAUUAAGCACUCCGCCUGGGGAGUACGGUCGCAAGACUG
This 514-nucleotide ribosomal RNA is filed under the name uncultured Bacillota bacterium. RNAcentral describes it as "bacterial SSU rRNA". It matches the Rfam family "Bacterial small subunit ribosomal RNA", at positions 391 to 896 of the family's 1533-position model. Lineage: Bacteria; Bacillati; Bacillota. The record is from RNAcentral.